Molecule: long non-coding RNA, 869 nt
Organism: Camellia sinensis
Lineage: Eukaryota; Viridiplantae; Streptophyta; Magnoliopsida; Ericales; Theaceae
Source: RefSeq, a predicted model, not a curated record
CACAACCUUUUAUUUACACCCCACCACAAAUAUAUUUAUAUCCCAUUUAUUUGUAAUUUUUUUUCUCUAAUUUCCAGCUAGUGGCCCAAUUUUAAAAAUAUUAGAUGAAGGGGAGUUAAACAACAUUGUUCGCUCCACUUUUUUUUAUUAUUCUCAGUCUGCUAGCAUUAUAACUCAUAGGUGCUCAAGCUCUACUUCAGACUGAUCUCCACAUUCAUUUCUUUGCCCUUCAAUCUAUAGAUCAAGGAGCGGCGAUGACUAAAGAUCUAGUGUUUGCUUGUGCGAUCUAGGAUUUGCAAUGGUGAAGUGGAAUUGAGAGAGAAGAGUCUCGUGGCGAUGGCAGCUAGACAGUAAUGGCACGACCACUGACAAUGGUGGUUAGGCGUUGGUGGUGAAAUCAAGAUCGAGAUCGCCAGAGAGAGAAUGGGGCUCACGAUGGUAGCGCUGACUAUAGGUUGGUAGGAGGAAGAAAAAGAUGAAGGAAAUGGGAUUGGGUUGCAACGACAAGAUGGUGGCGUCAGUGGGUGAAAGGGUGGAAAGGGUUUCGGAUGCCGGUAUGUGGGAUUGUUAGCGGCGAGAGUUGCCAGCAAAAAGAAAAAUAAAAGACAAGUUAGGUCCAAAAGAAAAGGAGUAGAGUUGGAAUUAAGGUAGUGGUUCAAAAAAAAAUGGAGGGGAUCCAUUUUGUUAGGUGGAGGUUCAAAGAAGUGGGGGCCGAAAGAACAAAGAUAGGAGUAAAUAGAAACCUUCUUAUUAUUUUGUAAGUCUGAAGUAAAUUUUUUUUCUUACAUAAUUGCCUCUUGUUUUGAUAAAGAGAAAAUUUUUAAACUUUUUAAAAAUAUUUUGUGUUUAUAAAAUGAGUAUUUGAUACU